RNAcentral lists this ribosomal RNA (419 nucleotides) under uncultured bacterium. RNAcentral's name for it is "bacterial SSU rRNA". It matches the Rfam family "Bacterial small subunit ribosomal RNA", at positions 355 to 765 of the family's 1533-position model. The record is from RNAcentral.
UGAGGAAUCUUGCGCAAUGGGGGAAACCCUGACGCAGCAACGCCGCGUGAGUGAGGAAGGUCUUCGGGUCGUAAAGCUCUGUCAGGCGGGAAGAAAUGCAUGGAGGUGAACAGCCGCCAUGCUUGACGGUACCGCCACAGGAAGCACCGGCUAACUCCGUGCCAGCAGCCGCGGUCAUACGGGGGGUGCAAGCGUUGUUCGGAAUCAUUGGGCGUAAAGAGCGUGUAGGCGGCUAGGUUAGUCAGAUGUGAAAGCACUGGGCUCAACACGGGAAGUGCAUUUGAGACUGCGAGGCUCGAGUAGGGGAGAGGGAAGUGGGAUACCUGGUGUGGAGGUGAAAAUCGUAGAUAUCAGGAGGAACACCGGUGGCGAAGGCGACUUCCUGGCGCUAUACUGACGCUGAGACGCGAGAGCGUGGG